RNAcentral lists this ribosomal RNA (465 nucleotides) under Vreelandella stevensii. Its description in RNAcentral is "partial 16S ribosomal RNA". It matches the Rfam family "Bacterial small subunit ribosomal RNA", at positions 338 to 795 of the family's 1533-position model. The record is from RNAcentral. Lineage: Bacteria; Pseudomonadati; Pseudomonadota; Gammaproteobacteria; Oceanospirillales; Halomonadaceae.
CCUACGGGGGGCUGCAGUGGGGAAUAUUGGACAAUGGGGGGAACCCUGAUCCAGCCAUGCCGAGUGUGUGAAGAAGGCCCUCGGGUUGUAAAGCACUUUCAGUGAGGAAGAACGCCUGGUGGUUAAUACCCAUCAGGAAAGACAUCACUCACAGAAGAAGCACCGGCUAACUCCGUGCCAGCAGCCGCGGUAAUACGGAGGGUGCGAGCGUUAAUCGGAAUUACUGGGCGUAAAGCGCGCGUAGGUGGCUUGAUAAGCCGGUUGUGAAAGCCCCGGGCUCAACCUGGGAACGGCAUCCGGAACUGUCAAGCUAGAGUGCAGGAGAGGAAGGUAGAAUUCCCGGUGUAGCGGUGAAAUGCGUAGAGAUCGGGAGGAAUACCAGUGGCGAAGGCGGCCUUCUGGACUGACACUGACACUGAGGUGCGAAAGCGUGGGUAGCAAACAGGAUUAGAUACCCCAGUAGUC